GGGGAUAGGCCGGAUCCUGGGCUGUGUCCCAGUGCCCUGUGCUCCCGGGCCUGCGUUGUUGGUUUCGCACUCCUGGUUGCGCAGCCC
RNAcentral lists this microRNA precursor (87 nucleotides) under Canis lupus familiaris (dog). Its description in RNAcentral is "mir-8799 microRNA precursor family". It matches the Rfam family "mir-8799 microRNA precursor family". The record is from Rfam by way of RNAcentral. Lineage: Eukaryota; Metazoa; Chordata; Mammalia; Carnivora; Canidae.